RNAcentral lists this ribosomal RNA (253 nucleotides) under uncultured bacterium. RNAcentral describes it as "partial 16S ribosomal RNA". It matches the Rfam family "Bacterial small subunit ribosomal RNA", at positions 524 to 776 of the family's 1533-position model. The record is from RNAcentral.
AACGUAGGGGGCGAGCGUUGCCCGGAUUCACUGGGCGUAAAGCGGGUGUAGGCGGUCUCUUAAGUCGGAUGUGAAAUCCUGCGGCCUAACCGCGGAACUGCAUCCGAUACUGGGAGACUUGAGGACGGUAGAGGUCGGUGGAAUUCCCGGUGUACCGGUGAAAUGGACAGAUAUCGGGAAGAACACCCGUGGCGAAGGCGGCUCUCUGGGACGGUACUGACGCUGAGACGCGAAAGCGUGGGGAGCGAACAGG